AUACGGAGGGUCCAAGCGUUAUCCGGCUUCAUUGGGUUUAAAGGGUCCGCAGGCGGGAAAAUAAGUCAGUGGUGCCCGCCUACAGCUCACCUGUAGAACUGCCCUUGAUACUGUUUUUCUUGCGUAUAGCUGCCGUGGGCGGAAUAUAUCAUGUAGCGGUGAAAUGCAGAGAUAUGAGAGAGAACACCGAUUGCGAAGGCAGCGCACGAAACUAUUACUGACGCUCAGGGACGAAAGCGUGGGGAGCGAACAGGAUUAGAAACACUAGUAGUCA
This 274-nucleotide ribosomal RNA is filed under the name uncultured bacterium. RNAcentral describes it as "partial 16S ribosomal RNA". It matches the Rfam family "Bacterial small subunit ribosomal RNA", at positions 523 to 796 of the family's 1533-position model. The record is from RNAcentral.